GCACCACAAGGGGUGAAGCUUGCGGUUUAAUUGGAGUCAACGCCGGAAAUCUCACCGGGAGCGACAGCAGUAUGAAGGCCAGAUUAAAGGUCUUGCUAGACGAGCUGAGAGGAGGUGCAUGGCCGUCGCCAGUUCGUGCCGUGAGGUGUCCUGUUAAGUCAGGCAACGAUCGAGACCCGCGUCCUCUGUUGCAACCAGUUUUGCGCUGGGCACACUGAGGAGACCGCCACUGAUAAAGUGGAGGAAGGAGCGGGCCACGGCAGGUCAGUAUGCCCCGAAUCUCCCGGGCCACACGCGAGCUGCAAUGGCAAGUACAAUGGGUUCCGACCUCGAAAGGGGAAGGCAAUCUCGAAAGCUUGCCGUAGUUGGGAUCGAAGGCUGAAACCCGCCUUCGUGAACAUGGAAUCCCUAGUAAUCGCGUGUCAUUAGCGCGCGGUGAAUACGUCCCUGCUCCUUGCACACACCGCCCGUCGUUCCACCCGAGCGACUCUUGGGUGAGGUGCCGUCUAAUUGGCGGUAUCGAAUCUAAGUUUCGUGAGGGGGGAAAAGUCGUAACAAGGUGGCCGUAGGGGAACCUGCGGCCGGAUCACCUCCU
RNAcentral lists this ribosomal RNA (595 nucleotides) under Candidatus Bathycorpusculum sp. Its description in RNAcentral is "bacterial SSU rRNA". It matches the Rfam family "Archaeal small subunit ribosomal RNA", at positions 876 to 1478 of the family's 1478-position model. Lineage: Archaea; Thermoproteati; Candidatus Bathyarchaeota; Bathyarchaeia (SeqCode); Bathyarchaeales (SeqCode); Candidatus Bathycorpusculaceae. The record is from RNAcentral.